This 79-nucleotide transfer RNA is filed under the name Anguilla anguilla (European eel). RNAcentral describes it as "tRNA-OTHER". Lineage: Eukaryota; Metazoa; Chordata; Actinopteri; Anguilliformes; Anguillidae. The record is from RNAcentral.
GGCAGCGUAGCCCAGUGGGUAAGGAACUGGGCUUGUAACCGAAAGGUCAUAGGUUCGAUUCCUGGACAGGACGCUGUCG